This 1007-nucleotide ribosomal RNA is filed under the name Paramesotriton longliensis. Its description in RNAcentral is "partial 16S ribosomal RNA". The stretch from base 154 to 1007 matches the Rfam family "Bacterial large subunit ribosomal RNA", at positions 568 to 2043 of the family's 2925-position model. Lineage: Eukaryota; Metazoa; Chordata; Amphibia; Caudata; Salamandridae. The record is from RNAcentral.
UUAAAAUUAUAGCCAAACAAACCUAAACUACCAAAAAACAAAACAAACCAUUUAAUUUAAUAGUAUGGGCGAUAGAAAUUUAUUAUGAGCAAUAAAAAAAGUACCGUAAGGGAAAGAUGAAAUAAAAAUGAAAUAAAUAAUAAAAACAAAAAAAAGAAAAGGCUAAACCCUGUACCUUUUGCAUAAUGGUCUAGCAAGUCCAACCUAACAAAAAGAAAUAAAGUUAGCCACCCCGAAACUAGACGAGCUACUUAAGAGCAGCAUUAACCAGAGCCAACCCGUCUCUGUGGCAAAAGAGUGGGAUGACUUUUGAGUAGAGGUGAAAAGCCUAACGAGCCUAGUGAUAGCUGGUUACUUGAGAAAUGAAUAUUAGUUCAGCUUAAAGCAUCUUUAUUAUUAAAAAAUAAAAAUAGCACUUUAAAGUUAAUUAAUAGGGGUACAGCCCUAUUAAUAAAGGAUACAACCUACAUAAUGAAUAAAGAUUAUAUUAACAAAAGAAAUUAACCGCGUAGGCCUAAAAGCAGCCACCACAAGAAAGCGUCAAAGCUCAACUUAACAACCCCCCUUAUUAUACUAAUAAAAAAUCUAAAUUCACAAAACAUAUCAAGCCCAUCUACUAGUAGAUAAGUUUAUACUAGAAUGAGUAACAAGAACAAAUUCUCUACAUGCAAGCGUAAAUCAGAACGAAAGUAUCACUGAUAAUUAACAACUUUAAAUACCCAACAACAAGAAAAACACAUUAAAACAAUUGUUAACCCAACACAGGAGCAUAAAAAAAGAUUUAAAGAUUAAAAAGGAACUCGGCAACCAUAGAGCUCCGCCUGUUUACCAAAAACACCGCCUCUUGCCCUCCCAAUAUAAGAGGUCCCGCCUGCCCAGUGAUUAAUUUUAACGGCCGCGGUAUCAUGACCGUGCAAAGGUAGCGUAAUCACUUGUCUUUUAAAUAAAGACCUGUAUGAAAGGCAAAACGAAAGCUCAACUGUCUCUUUAAUCUAAUCAGUGAAAUU